RNAcentral lists this ribosomal RNA (468 nucleotides) under uncultured bacterium. Its description in RNAcentral is "partial 16S ribosomal RNA". It matches the Rfam family "Bacterial small subunit ribosomal RNA", at positions 28 to 507 of the family's 1533-position model. The record is from RNAcentral.
GACGAACGCUGGCGGCGUGCUUAACACAUGCAAGUCGAACGGACAGGCCCUGCUUUUGUGGGGUGCUCGAGUGGCGAACGGGUGAGUAACACGUGAGUAACCUGCCCUUGACUUUGGGAUAACUUCAGGAAACUGGGGCUAAUACCGGGUAGGAGCUCCUGCGCCAUGGUGGGGGUUGGAAAGUUUCGGCGGUUGUGGAUAGACUCGCGGGUUAGCCGCUUGUUGGUGUGGUUGGGGCUGACCAAGGCUUUGACGGGUAGGCCACCUGAGAGGGUGACCGGGGACAAGGGGACUACGAUAGGGAGCAGACGGGUAUGGGAGGCAGCGGUGGAAAAUAUGGCGCAGCGAGGGGACGCGUGUGACGGAGGCGCCGGGUGCGUGAAGACGGGCUUCGGGUUAUAAACAGAUGUGGCCUGAGACGAAGCGGGCGUGACGGUAAUGGAUAAAGAAGCAACGGCUAACUACGUG